Long non-coding RNA from Anopheles arabiensis, 480 nucleotides. RefSeq lists it as uncharacterized. The record is from RefSeq and is a predicted model, not a curated record. The transcript has 3 exons. Lineage: Eukaryota; Metazoa; Arthropoda; Insecta; Diptera; Culicidae.
UGCAUCGCACUCAUCAGGGUGUUUGCUCUUUUCCAUCCAAGCCAAAGAGCAACUUCAGUGUGCUCUGAACCGUGGACGUGAGAGUGUGUGUUUGUGUGCUGCGUGAACUAUUUUUCCUGCGUGUUCUUUCUGCUUCAUCGGAGGACGAAUUUUUAUCAUCUAAUUGUUUGGUUUCAGAUGUGUGCUGCUACCGCUAGCUGUUCCUCAAACUACUUAAAAAGUGUGACACUGUGUGCACAGGUGUUCAAGUUUCAAUUGAUCCUCAAGCACAAAGCCUUCAUACAACACAGCGGUUGAGGCGCGCCAAAUCUGAUGACAUCUUUCCUGAACCAAGCAGGCUGAACACGCGAACCACCACGGGCUCCAGCGCGGUGUGAAGAGGGAAGAAGAAAAGACAGAAUUGGAAACAGCCGCACCAGGCUUCCAACCACCGUGUGUGUGUGUAUGUAAGUAUGUGAGAACACAUGUGUGAAUCCUCUU